This 959-nucleotide ribosomal RNA is filed under the name Scopulariopsis candida. RNAcentral describes it as "eukaryotic LSU rRNA". It matches the Rfam family "Eukaryotic large subunit ribosomal RNA", at positions 108 to 1093 of the family's 3401-position model. Lineage: Eukaryota; Fungi; Ascomycota; Sordariomycetes; Microascales; Microascaceae. The record is from RNAcentral. RNAcentral also lists the same sequence under 1 other name.
CUCAAAUUUGAAAUCUGGUCCCCUUUGGGGGCCCGAGUUGUAAUUUGAAGAGGAUGCUUUUGGCGAGGCGCCGUCCGAGUUCCCUGGAACGGGACGCCGCAGAGGGUGAGAGCCCCGUACGGUCGGACGCCGAGCCUCUGUAAAGCUCCUUCGACGAGUCGAGUAGUUUGGGAAUGCUGCUCAAAAUGGGAGGUAAACCCCUUCUAAAGCUAAAUACUGGCCAGAGACCGAUAGCGCACAAGUAGAGUGAUCGAAAGAUGAAAAGCACUUUGAAAAGAGAGUUAAAAAGCACGUGAAAUUGUUAAAAGGGAAGCGCUUGCGACCAGACUUGCGCCCGUCGGAUCAACCGUCGCUUGCGGCGGCGCACUCCGGCGGGCUCAGGCCAGCAUCAGUUCGUCCGGGGGGAGAAAGGCGGCGGGAAUGUGGCUCUUCGGAGUGUUAUAGCCCGCCGUGUAAUACCCUCGGGUGGACUGAGGACCGCGCGUAUGCAAGGAUGCUGGCGUAAUGGUCGUCAGCGACCCGUCUUGAAACACGGACCAAGGAGUCGUCCUAAUAUGCGAGUGUACGGGUGUCAAACCCCUGCGCGUAAUGAAAGUGAACGGAGGUGAGAGCUUCGGCGCAUCAUCGACCGAUCCUGAUGUUCUCGGAUGGAUUUGAGUAAGAGCAUAUUGGGCCGGACCCGAAAGAAGGUGAACUAUGCCUGUGUAGGGUAAAGCCAGAGGAAACUCUGGUGGAGGCUCGCAGCGGUUCUGACGUGCAAAUCGAUCGUCAAACAUGGGCAUGGGGGCGAAAGACUAAUCGAACCUUCUAGUAGCUGGUUUCCGCCGAAGUUUCCCUCAGGAUAGCAGUGUUGAAUUUCUCAGUUUUAUGAGGUAAAGCGAAUGAUUAGGGACUCGGGGGCGCUUUUUAGCCUUCAUCCAUUCUCAAACUUUAAAUAUGUAAGAAGCCCUUGUUACUUC